GCUCAGAAAAUACUUGAAUGAAAACUUCUUUGUAAAUUGUGAAAGGAGGAGACAGAGACACAUUUAUGGAGCGCCCACUGUAGGUCUUGAAAUAGAUGAACCUAUAUUCCUCCCCAAUGAGGAAGGAGGUAUUGUGAUUAUCACUUUUGGAGAGGAAGAAACAGAGAUUCAGAAGAAUGAAGGGACUUGCCAAACUUCACGGAGAAACAUACUUGGGAUUUAAACUCAGAAGUGUUUCUUUCAACUACCUCACAAGUGAUUCUUCUUGGAUCAAGGAAAGCACCAUUGGCCCAUCUCUACAGAUUGCAGAUCAGAAUUAUUUCUUGCCUACAGUCCGCACUGGAAAUGUCUGUCCAAGACCAGAAUCUACAUCUCUUGAAAAAAAAAAAAAAAUUAAAGUCGUGCCUGCAAAUUCCUCAGGCAAAGAAAGAAUCAAGCCACAAGCAUCCAGGUCACCUUAUGCAAGCUGGGAUGGUGUCGUCAAACCAGAAACACUUCUGGGCAUCUUAGAACUUAGGACUCAGCCUUGAUUCAUGAGGAUACCUCAGGUAUACAGUCCAGGUCAAAAGAAGGACUAGCCAGGGGACAGGCUGUGCCGUGAAAAGCAGGAUCUGGAGCCACCAGGGUAGAACAAGUUCUGGAGACAGAGCCAGCUAAAGAAAAAGGAUGUGAUGACUGGAAUUCAAGCAGCUCUCUUGGACUAUGAGAUGACCCUAAUGGUGGAAGCCACACUGAGAACAGUGGAGAAGGAAGAUGAGAUUUUGGGCUUCUGAUGAUAUCAAGAAGCUCCCAUAACAACCCUGGAC
This 806-nucleotide long non-coding RNA is filed under the name Equus caballus (horse). Its description in RNAcentral is "lncRNA (ENSECAG00000050878.1)". Lineage: Eukaryota; Metazoa; Chordata; Mammalia; Perissodactyla; Equidae. The record is from RNAcentral.